CCAGCCCAGGGCAAGGAUUCCAAAGGGGUGUGGUUCCCUCCCCACCUUCCCAUCUCAAAGGGAAAACCCAACCAACUCUCAUCCACUGUGACAAGGGCAAGAACAGACAAGUGCCUCACAAAGAGAGGGCUGUCAGAGGGGGCGCCUGGCUGGCUCAGUUGGUGGAGCAUCUGACUCUUGGUCUCGGGAUCAUGAGUUCAGGUCCCACGUUGGGCAUGGAGCCUACUUAAAGAAUAAAAAAGACUUAAAAAGAAAAAAGAAAGGAAAGGCUGUCUGCGAGGAGAGGAAGGACUGAUCCACAAUGGCAGGCAGUGGAUGAAGAGUUUUAGGAGUUAAGAGAGAAGGAAGGUCAUGGCAGACAGAGGGAACAGGCUGAGAAAAACCACCACACCACCAGGAAAUGCCCUGCAAGCUGCUGAAGGGCAGAGAAUGUGCAACAGAGUAGAGAAGUGGGGCGGCUUACAGUCGUGUUCUAAAAGGCCUUAAGGGCACCAUAAGGCAUUGGAUCUUAUUUUGGAGGCAAGGAGAGGCACAGAAAAUGCAGUGGACACUGGCCACUUUCGUUGUUUGUCCAUCAUUCAACCCAACCCUCCCAUCAGCACCCUGCUCUUCCUUUCGGAGAACCCCCGUGAGUGGUCUUGGUGGCAGGCUAGCCAGACGCAGUUUCUGCGGCUCACCACCCAGCCUCCAGACUGAUACAGAGCACAAUGAAGCACAAGAGGGAGGGACCGGGUCAAAACCGUGUUUGAGAAAGAUAAUAAACACAGUUAUCAAGA
Long non-coding RNA from Felis catus (domestic cat), 776 nucleotides. RefSeq lists it as uncharacterized. The record is from RefSeq and is a predicted model, not a curated record. The transcript has 2 exons. NCBI's taxonomy places the organism in Eukaryota, Metazoa, Chordata, Mammalia, Carnivora, Felidae.